This 253-nucleotide ribosomal RNA is filed under the name uncultured bacterium. RNAcentral describes it as "partial 16S ribosomal RNA". It matches the Rfam family "Bacterial small subunit ribosomal RNA", at positions 524 to 776 of the family's 1533-position model. The record is from RNAcentral.
UACGUAGGUGGCAAGCGUUGUCCGGAAUUAUUGGGCGUAAAGCGCGCGCAGGCGGUCUUUUAAGUCUGAUGUGAAAGCCCACGGCUCAACCGUGGAGGGUCAUUGGAAACUGGGGGACUUGAGUGCAGAAGAGGAAAGUGGAAUUCCAAGUGUAGCGGUGAAAUGCGUAGAGAUUUGGAGGAAUACCAGUGGCGAAGGCGACUUUCUGGUCUGUAACUGACGCUGAGGCGCGAAAGCGUGGGGAGCAAACAGG